Long non-coding RNA from Maniola jurtina (meadow brown), 77 nucleotides. RefSeq lists it as uncharacterized. The transcript is spliced from 3 exons. Lineage: Eukaryota; Metazoa; Arthropoda; Insecta; Lepidoptera; Nymphalidae. The record is from RefSeq and is a predicted model, not a curated record.
CACAGACCACGAAUCCGGAGAUAGACGACGAAGUUCCAUAGAUCUGUUUAUGAUUAGUAGCGAGCACAGACAACGAA